Long non-coding RNA from Nyctereutes procyonoides (raccoon dog), 3379 nucleotides. RefSeq lists it as uncharacterized. Lineage: Eukaryota; Metazoa; Chordata; Mammalia; Carnivora; Canidae. The transcript has 6 exons. The record is from RefSeq and is a predicted model, not a curated record.
UUUUGCUGUUAUUUGUGGGUUUUUUUUUGUCAUCAGAUACUGACUAUAAAAAAAAUCAGUGUUUAAAAGACUUUAUGAAUUGUAGUAGUGCAUCAUUUAAAGUCUAUCCUAUCUUAUCCUAUCUUCUAUGUAGACAGCCCAGUUAAGCAUGAUCACGUCCAUGGACUUAUCUCUACAGGACAAGUAGAGACAUUAACGUACAAUGAAGAAGUUUUUUGUGCUGUUUUGUCUUUUCAUAUGUUUCAUUGAGCUGUAGACAGAGUUUGAUGAGAUGAGCUGAAAUAAAGGUAAGCGAUUUCAACGUAUUUUGAUUGUAAUUGUUGGAUGCUUGAGUAAAGAGAAAAUGUUGGAAUGCCAUAGCAUUCUUUCUCAACAUCCUACUUGGACCCCAGAGAACAUUUUUGCAAAAGAAGGUAAUUUAAAGGCACUGGUGAAUGAGGAAUCAUUCUGUCCCCCAGGCUAGUUGGAGCCAGACUGAGCAAGGUCAGUAAGGUUGGUACAAACUUGGAAGAACUCAGUGGUGAUUGUGAGUCUGUAAAGACAGGAAAGCAUUUCUCCAAACACCCUUGGCCAUUGUUCCAAAAAGUUAAGAGACUUUGCAAAAGUGCAUGUUACUAAGCAUUUCUUAGGAACUAACCAUGUCCAGAGGCUCACACAGUAGCCAGCAGAGCCUAUAAAGCAUGUUCAUCAUCUAAGCUAUUCAUUAACAUGGUAAAAAGGCAUGGCAAGCGUUUAGGAAAAUGCACAGAUAUUACAUGGAAAUAUAUAUCUAUAUUUCUCCAAACCUGAGCUUAUUUUAUAUGAGGUACUUUAGAACUACCACGAGAUUGUUUUCUGAAGGCAACAAGUUCAGUAAAUUACUCUGCUUUUCUCCAGUCUUUUCAUCCUGCAUGUAAAAUUUCAACCAUGAUGAACAGAGGGAGUCUCUGGUCCAAAAGCCCCAAAUUUCUUAUCCACAAAUACAGGCAAAUGGAAAUUGCAGUUCUUCAAAAACAGCAUUCCUUAUUGUAAUUUGUUUUUCACUUGUUACAGAGUCAAAUAACAUUGGUAAGUGUAAUAAAAUGUUUUAAAAUAUUCCUGUGCUUGUUCAUUUGCUUUGAGGACAUAAAGAGGCAGAUCUUAAAGCAAUGUAUUCUGAUCGAGAAACAGCUGGAAAUGGCAGCAACGUGAUAUGGAGCAAUCAAGAACAGAAGGUUUAUUUUGAAUGAGAGGUGCUGUCCAACUGUGAGACUGAGUGAUCGCAGCUGAGAAUGAGUGCAAACACAAUCACUAGUGGCUCCAGGCAGCACAGCCAGGUUUAAAAACAAUUAUUAUUUUCUCUCAUGCUGUCUUCCUCUAAGAGGCUUGGGUUUCACCCUCAAAGGUCACCAUGGAGUCACUGUGAAGAGAUGCCUUCCUGUCUUUUGAAAUCCUGAGGAGUGGAGACUGGAGAAAACGGGUUUCAGUUACCUCAGGUUCACUGUCAUCCAGAAGUAGAGAGUCCUCCUGACGUGUCCUCAGAAGGUCAAUAGUUGCUAACACUACAUCACAUUGCCUAGGUCGUGCACCUCACUUCAUCUCAUCAAAUAGGCAUUUUUAUCAUCUCACAUCAUCACGAGAAGAGCAAGGUUUUCUGAAGAGGAUCUGAGGUGAACACAUCAGCCUGCAGCAUCCCUAGCAAUGUAAUUUUGAAUGUCCUAGUCUUUAAUGUCUGGAUCCCAAAAAGGGGAAAAUGAAAAGAAGAAGAAGAAGAAGAAGAAGAAGAAGAAGAAGAAGAAGAAAAGAAGAAGAAAAGAAGAAGAAAAGAAGAGGAGGAAGAGGAGGAGGAGACGGGAAAGGGGAAGUGGCCCUUUAAGUCUGCUGGAAGUCAUAUCAGCCAGAGGGGGAGGUACUUGCAGUAAUGGGGAUAAGUAAAACUAUAAUGACUGCUACCUCUUUGUCUGCAUCUGUAUGAUCAUCAGCAGCAACCAGAGGUCAGAACACAGAUCCCUAAUAUUUGGAGGACAGGGUCCAUUUUGCCCAACUUGGCUUCCACCAACUGUGUGUAAGCUUCUCUGGGAAUAUGUUCAAUUCCUGCCAUGCAGCAGGGAGUAGGUAUGGGGGGCUGCUACUGUGCUAAGAGCUGAAAUAGACUGUCCAUGCCUUCCUUUGGAAGUUGCAAGCUUUCCAUAGAGUUCAUAGUUCAAAAAGAGUUACAUCCGACGGAUUCUUCCAGUGUAGUGUUGUCUAGGUGUGAGGACAGAUUCCUGGUGCUUCCUAUUCUGCCAUCGUCCCAGAGCAUCAUGAAUGGCGAAUUUUUAAUCAUCUCAGUAAGGAUCACUUUUUAUUAAGUAAUUUAGCUUCCUUAAAAUGUGAUUAAUCUGGAAUUUCAGGGAAAGAAAAUGUUUCCAAACAGAUUUCCCAUCAUCUUAGAAUCCUUCGUUCAAUCUUCAUUGUCUAAAAGCAAAGUACAUAUUGAGAACAAAGUUCACAAGGGACUUUUCCCCUUUUCCCCAUGAUCUGACAUGUCCAAGUUUCACCAUUCAUAUUAAAGCAUUAUGCACUAGAGACGGUCACAAAUAGACUUAUACCACAUUUCCUUCCUUUAAUUUUAUAUUUACGUCAAUACCAACGUCUGAGCAGUACAGUUUUUUUUUCCUCUUUAACUCAACAAUUAAACUCAAGAUCAAUCCCAGACGUUUCAUGGCUCUUCCAAGUCACAUUGAUGCUGUAUAUGGGAGAAGAAAAAAAUUUCUGCUUCAAUGAAGAUUUUCCAUAAGGAUGAAGCUCCAUUUUUCAAUCCACAUUUAAUGAAACAUCUAUGCAUUUAAUACUUCAUUCAUUCAUCUAUAGUCUGAGUUCUUGUUUCCACUAGCACUUUUUAAGACCCUCAUCACAGUCUAGUGAGUCUGAUUUCUUAAGGAACCCUCUGUCUUUUGGGUGAGAAAGAUAUUUGGGAUCAAUCAUAUUUAGGCAGAGUUAAGUGAGAUAUUAUAGAGCACAGAAGGGGAAAGGACAUAUGCUGCUCGAAAGAGUCAGGAAAGGACAUCACAGGGAUGGUGUCUGAUCUCAGACUUAAAAGAUAAUUAGGAGUUAAUGAGGCAAAGAAUAUGAAAACAGUAAAAUAAGUGAAGGGAACAGCAUAUGCAAUGACACAUUGGCAUGUGCAGAGAUGUGGAAUUCAGAAUGCUUUCAGGAUGUUUAUAGAAAGAAGGGAUGGGUAGGAGUAAGAUUCUGAAAACUGAAUUUUAGGUCCUCUGACCUAAGGACGUUGGACUGAUUCUAUAGGCAAUAGAGCAUAAAUAAAGGGAAUUUUAAAGCAGAGGGUGGUUUGUGAGUAUUUGUUUUGCUGUAAGUUAUUUAUAAUAGCACACAGAGAAUUAGACACUGGUAGUAAGUAAAGCAGUGCAAGAAAGAAAUG